Molecule: long non-coding RNA, 404 nt
Organism: Neltuma alba
Lineage: Eukaryota; Viridiplantae; Streptophyta; Magnoliopsida; Fabales; Fabaceae
Exons: 2
Source: RefSeq, a predicted model, not a curated record
AUUUUAAAAUUGAAGCUGGGCUGGGUCAUCCUAAAGCACAAAACUUCAAUGUAAUUGGUGCUGCAAUUUUUUAACUAGUCGAGGAUUAGUUGUUAGGAAAAGCAGGAAACAGGUGGAUAUGUGGAAAACUCAACAACGAACGAGGUGUUGGCCAGCAGCCGCUCUACAUUGAGUCAGCAGCAUGUUAAUUCUGCCGAGUGGGUGGCCCCGCUUAUGUUGGACCAGCCUACCAACAAGUCAUUUUCUUGUAAAGAUAGUUAAGACCCAUAAGUGGAAUGCCAUUCUCAUUAAGCGUAGCGAUUUUUAAAUUGCCAUGCUUCUUUUGAGAAGGAAGUUUCAUCUGAAUCGUAAUGGUAUACACAAGGUUGGUUAUCCUUCAGAAAAAAGGUUCAUACGAUAGAAAA